GAUAACCCUAAAUCAUAUUCUCUCCCAACCCAAGCCAUCAAAAUUUCUAAUUCCCCUUAUCAAAUCUCUCUCUGUCAAAAUUCCAGCCGACCACCACUAGUCGUGCCGUCCAAACUGAUAUUUUGAUCAACUAUUUUUUUUUUUUUUGGUUGAAGAUUAUGCUACUAUUUUAACUAUUUGGGUGGUAUUCAAAUUAAAUCCCAAAAGGGAUUUUGUUUUGGCUUUGUUGAAUUUGAAGAUGAAGUUGCUACGCAAAAUGCAAUAGAGGUACGGACUAAGGCAUGAAGCUGGGAGAGGAUUCCAAGGGACGCUAUGAGCAUGAGAG
This is a long non-coding RNA of Pistacia vera, 325 nucleotides long. RefSeq lists it as uncharacterized. NCBI's taxonomy places the organism in Eukaryota, Viridiplantae, Streptophyta, Magnoliopsida, Sapindales, Anacardiaceae. The record is from RefSeq and is a predicted model, not a curated record. The transcript has 3 exons.